Molecule: small nucleolar RNA, 138 nt
Organism: Ornithorhynchus anatinus (platypus)
Lineage: Eukaryota; Metazoa; Chordata; Mammalia; Monotremata; Ornithorhynchidae
Source: RefSeq, a predicted model, not a curated record
CCCCUCUCAGAGUCGCACCUGGAGAGUUUCCAGUAUUCUACCAGUCUUGACUACGGGAGGGAGAGUCAAACAGAGGCUCACCCAUUCCAUUUCUAGCCUGGGCAGUGGCUAGCGAAUGGAAGGCAAUCUACUACAAGU